AAGCCAUGGUGAGGGCAGCUUCUUUGCAAAUCCUUAAAUCUUUCCCAAGCCUCGUACAAUGAUUGAUUCUCAAAUUGCUACAAAGUAGUGAUGUCUUUGAUGAUCUU
Molecule: small nucleolar RNA, 107 nt
Filed under: Nelumbo nucifera (sacred lotus)
Lineage: Eukaryota; Viridiplantae; Streptophyta; Magnoliopsida; Proteales; Nelumbonaceae
Description: Plant small nucleolar RNA R71
Rfam family: Plant small nucleolar RNA R71
About the family: R71 is a member of the C/D box family of snoRNAs containing the C (UGAUGA) and D (CUGA) box motifs. Multiple nearly identical copies of this snoRNA have been identified in Arabidopsis, and it is thought to function as a 2'-O-ribose methylation guide for 18S ribosomal RNA.
Source: Rfam by way of RNAcentral